CUUGCUUUCUUUGCUGGCGACCGGCGCACGGGUGAGUAACACGUAUCCAACCUGCCCUUUACUCGGGGAUAGCCUUUCGAAAGAAAGAUUAAUACCCGAUAGCAUAAUGAUUCCGCAUGGUUUCAUUAUUAAAGGAUUCCGGUAAGGGAUGGGGAUGCGUUCCAUUAGGUUGUUGGUGGGGUAACGGCCCACCAAGCCUUCGAUGGAUAGGGGUUCUGAGAGGAAGGUCCCCCACAUUGGAACUGAGACACGGUCCAA
This 258-nucleotide ribosomal RNA is filed under the name uncultured bacterium. RNAcentral's name for it is "partial 16S ribosomal RNA". It matches the Rfam family "Bacterial small subunit ribosomal RNA", at positions 75 to 334 of the family's 1533-position model. The record is from RNAcentral.